RNAcentral lists this ribosomal RNA (534 nucleotides) under Streptococcus pneumoniae. RNAcentral describes it as "partial 23S ribosomal RNA". It matches the Rfam family "Bacterial large subunit ribosomal RNA", at positions 1 to 543 of the family's 2925-position model. Lineage: Bacteria; Bacillati; Bacillota; Bacilli; Lactobacillales; Streptococcaceae. The record is from RNAcentral.
GGUUAAGUUAAUAAGGGCGCACGGUGGAUGCCUUGGCACUAGGAGCCGACGAAGGACGUGACAAACGACGAUAUGCCUUGGGUAGCUGUAAGUAAGCGAUGAUCCAGGGAUUUCCGAAUGGGGGAACCCAACAGGUAGUACCUGUUACCCACAUCUGUUAAGGAUGUGAGGAGGAAGACGCAGUGAACUGAAACAUCUAAGUAGCUGCAGGAAGAGAAAGCAAAAGCGAUUGCCUUAGUAGCGGCGAGCGAAACGGCAGGAGGGCAAACCGAAGAGUUUACUCUUCGGGGUUGUAGGACUGCAAUGUGGACUCAAAGAUUAUAGAAGAAUGAUUUGGGAAGAUCAGCCAAAGAGAGUAAUAGCCUCGUAUUUAAAAUAGUCUUUGUAGCUAGCAGUAUCCUGAGUACGGCGGGACACGUGAAAUCCCGUCGGAAUCUGGGAGGACCAUCUCCCAACCCUAAAUACUCCCUAGUGACCGAUAGUGAACCAGUACCGUGAGGGAAAGGUGAAAAGCACCCCGGGAGGGGAGUGAAA